Silurus meridionalis is the source of this 376-nucleotide long non-coding RNA. RefSeq lists it as uncharacterized. The transcript is spliced from 3 exons. NCBI's taxonomy places the organism in Eukaryota, Metazoa, Chordata, Actinopteri, Siluriformes, Siluridae. The record is from RefSeq and is a predicted model, not a curated record.
GGAUGGAGAAGAGGAACAAGAAGGGAAAAUAUGAAGAAAGAGAAGGAGAAGAAGAAUGGGAAGGAGAAGAAGAAGAGGAAGAAGAAGGAGAAGAAAAACCGGAAACAGAAUAAUAUGACUCAGCCGGAAGUCGGCUCUUGUUCGGCACAAAGAAUCGGCUCUUAGAUCCGGCUCGUUGGUGAACGACACAUCACUAGAACAUUAAAAGCUCGUCGAUUUGUGCUGCUGGUGCUGUUGUGUCUCAGACAUGGAGUCCUGCAGGGUUCCUCACCAUGUCCUGCUUUCAUUCACCCUCAUCUUCAUCUUCAUCUCUAUCCCAGGAUUUACUCCAGAGUUCAGGAGCUCAAAGUGUGAACAUUCUUACUGCAGUGCAUCU